RNAcentral lists this ribosomal RNA (439 nucleotides) under uncultured bacterium. Its description in RNAcentral is "partial 16S ribosomal RNA". It matches the Rfam family "Bacterial small subunit ribosomal RNA", at positions 339 to 795 of the family's 1533-position model. The record is from RNAcentral.
CUACGGGGUGCAGCAGUGGGGAAUAUUGCACAAUGGAGGAAACUCUGAUGCAGCAACGCCGCGUGGAGGAUGACACUUUUCGGAGCGUAAACUCCUUUUAUAUAGGAAGAAGAUGACGGUACUAUAUGAAUAAGCGCCGGCUAACUCCGUGCCAGCAGCUGCGGUAAUACGGAGGGCGCAAGCGUUACUCGGAAUCACUGGGCGUAAAGAGCGUGUAGGCGGAUUAAAAAGUCAGAAGUGAGAUCCUAUAGCUUAACUAUAGAACUGCUUCUGAAACUCUUAAUCUAGAAUAUGGGAGAGGUAGAUGGAAUUUCUGGUGUAGGGGUAAAAUCCGUAGAGAUCAGAAGGAAUACCGAUUGCGAAGGCGAUCUACUAGAACAUUAUUGACGCUGAGACGCGAAAGCGUGGGGAGCAAACAGGAUUAGAUACCCCAGUAGUC